UAACACCCAUUUUUAGUUUAUUAUUGGCAUAGAAAAGCAUUUACAAAAGGAACGCGGUGAAAAUCUGCGACAGUUUCUUUGCUACUGUAAGGAGAAUAUGGACGUAUUCAGUCAUUGGGAAAACCGAGAAGGCUGGGUGCAGGGAGUCCCUCCAAGUCAGGAUAUUUUUGUAAACGCAUCAUCUGUUUGA
RNAcentral lists this non-coding RNA (190 nucleotides) under Acetobacterium wieringae. The record is from RNAcentral. Lineage: Bacteria; Bacillati; Bacillota; Clostridia; Eubacteriales; Eubacteriaceae.